UUUUCUUAAGAAAUUCAUUUUCGACAAGGUUUACAAAAUGGUGCAUGUUCAUGGUGCCUUCAUUUAUCUUCUAUUUCAUAUGUUGAAUUUAGGGAGGUUAUACGUCCAAUUCAUGAGCAAGUCUAUCUAUUUCAAUAAUGAAAAUAAAAUAGCAAGCUUUCUUUAUUCAUAGGUUAAAAACGACAACCCAAAAGUUUCAUCUCGGGGGUUGAGUGGUGUUUAUUCCAUAGGGCAACAACAAUAAUCAACAUCUUUGCAGUAGCCUCCAGGGUUUAUGCAAUACUUGUAGCACGCCUUGUUAGUGCAUUUAGGAAACUUCAUUGGAUAGCAACUUUCAGGUAGUGGUAUUGCAUCUGCAUGUAUCUGCACAAAAUGAACACACGUCGUUAGUCCUAUAACAUGGUAUGAAAUUUGUCAUAUUUUGUUUAGCAUAACAAUAUAUAGACAAUUUUUAUGGAGAGUUGAACAUUAUAUAUUGAAAAUAAAGUUCCAUUUUGGGGAUUCAGAAAGGAAGCUAUAUAGCAUAACCUCAUUGUUCGCAUGGCAUGGGGACACAAUAGUAGCCAGUACCAUGAGAGCCACCAAAAAGAAGGGACCAAGAUUCAUCUUGAAGGUUGCCAUUUGGUGAGGCCAACAAGUGACUUCUAUGCUCAAUUGUUGUGCUAAUAUGCGGUGUGUUUCAAAGUUCACUUUGACGGUGUUUAUAUAGGUGCCUAUUGAUGCAUUUUUCGAGUAUUUAUUUGAAAAUAAAUCUAGUAUCUUCUAUAUCAAAAUAUUGGCUGCCAAAUCAAUAAUUAAAUGGGGUAAUAUAAUAUAUUGUGUGUUAAUAGCACCUCACACAUGUAGAAUGCAUUAGUUGUGUACAAUUAUACAACAUCAUUUGUAGAAAAUCUUUCUGUAUCAAUUAAACACAUUAGUUUUGAUAGGUAAAUCAAAUGCCCUAUGUAUCGAUAAUAUCUUUAGUGAGAUAAAUGGAUUAAUAUUGUACAUCAAUUCAAUAUUUUGUGUAUCAAUGUGGGGUAAAAUAAAAUAAGUACAAUAUCAUCAAUAUGAAUAUUUUAGCUAUCACAUCAAUCGUUUAAUGGGACAACAUACUUUUUUCAAUAACACUUGGCACAUGACGAAUGCAUUAUUUGUGAAUAAUUAAUAACAUAUCUUUUGAAUAAAUUAUUUGUAUCAAAGGAAUUAAUUAGUUUUUACAUGUAUAAAAUAUAUAUUUCAUGAGAAAUUAGUAAUUUUGUAUAAGGAGAUAAAUGCAUUAAUUAUGAUACAUUAAUGCAAUAUUUAUCAUCAAUAUCUUCAGCCAUAAAGUGAAAGCACUAACUAUGGGAAAAAUCUGUGUUAGCCACUGACAGUGGUGGCCUAAUAACAACCUUGCUCAAUGUAUUGUGCACAAUGUGUUUUGACUUGAGUUAUAUUGUUUGGAAGCUUGAUAAUCCCCAAUUGAGGGCAGUUAUUGUAGCACUUUUCAAACUCGAGGUAAUAAUUUUGGAGUGUCGAAGCAAAGGGAUCUAAAGGUAGGAUUCGUAUUCUCUCAUGUUCUAUCUACUAAUGAUAGUAUCAAAUGGACACCGAAUGCUUGCUUUACCUAGAAACAAUGAAUACAACUACUUUACAUGUAUAAAAGGAUUGAUGGGUGAUAUUUUUAUACUCAUUUCACCUUUGCUCAAACCGAGGUAUUUCAUUUAAAAAUAGAUAUUCGCUCCGAUAUUGGUACUAAUGACUAAUGAAUGCAAAGGGUUUUACAAACCCUCUCUUUGAUGUGUUUCCACAAAAAAUGGACUAAAAAUGGAAGAAAUCUCGCGUGGAAAUUAAAUGGAAGGAGAAUGAAGGAAGAAGGUAUCAACAGGAGGCGUUCUAUGAAGACAGAGCAAAAGCUGACAUUCCAUAUGGGUGCCCGUGCCUGUAUGGUGUGGAUUUCGAGACAAAUCGUACACCUGAACGACUUUAAUUAAAGGACUCAAAUGAAAUGCCAACAGAACAACAAGCACAAAAGCUAGAAACAUCUUCUUCAUCCACAAACCCUAGACGCCGCCAUCUCCAUCGCCAUAGCCAUAUCCACCACCACCAUAGUGCUCUCUCAUCUAGUUCAUACUUCUAAUCAUGUAUCACACAAGGCAUCCAUUGUAAAACCUAUUUGUAAUCAAUCAGUCCAAGAUGUGUUCUUCAAUGUUUUAUUCCCGCGAUCCAAUCUCGAUGUGUGAGUAGUUCGGUAAGAUAUGGGUUGAGGCAUGAGCAUUGCAAACCAAUUUAUUUGUUGAGGGGAUCAAUGGAAGACUUUUACAUAGCAUCCGGUUUGUGUGAAAUAAAAUUUUCCGUGAAGAUGUCUCUUUCCUUGUAUGUGAUCUUCAUCCUUGCAGGUAGCCAGGAUCAUGGAGAUCGAGCACUGGUGAGGCUUGGGACAAGGAGGCCACGAAAUGUUAUACCGAACACUGGUGACAGUAAAGUUCAGUAGGGUAACAUGGAUCAUAUCCUUGGGGAUAAAUGAGGUGUACUCAUUAAGCGCCCAAAGCCCUUUUCUUAUUUUAUUAUCUUAACUAUCAAGGAUCCCUGCACGAUAGAUAGGACCUGCGGUAGGAAAACUGAUUCUUCAUGUAGGACUCUUGUCGGUCAAGAUGUUAUUUGGACACAUCCCCCACUCUGAUCCAUCACAAGCACAUCUCGAUUGGUGAUAUCUAUAGCACAAAUUAAUAUCCUAUUUGAUCCCAGUGCAAAUACAAGGUUGUAAGCAUAAGACCUUAUACUCGUACCUAUCUUUAUUAUAAGUGUUUGAAUUACUGGUUGCUUAUUGAUCCGGUCAAAAGCUGGAUUUGACUCUUUGACAAAAGCUUGGGAGACACCAUCGCUUCAAGGGAAUGCUCCUCUUGUGGCUUCAAUAACCCAGGGUCACCUUUAGGGAAAUAGGUAUGGGAUAUUCUUUUCUGUUCCAAUACUGGACAAACGAACGCAUUUUCCUGGGAGUUUUAGUUGAGACACAAGAUCAAACGGUCGCAGUUUCGGGAAUGUUAUCUGGCGAGUGGGCCCAGUUUUUAUUUUCUUCCUAUAAAAAGUAUGCUACGUGGUGUCGGCUUAGUCAACAAACGAUUGUGCCAACCUUGACCGUUCAAUUGACAUUCAACGCCUAUUAUUUUUCUUGAUUCUCUUCUUACUCCAGCCGCCAAAGCCAGACUAGUGCCGGCGACAUUGCCUGCUCCCGCCUCCCACAGUUGGCUGUGCUACCGCGCACGCAUCAUGGCCACAUCGCACCCUAAAACCCUGUGCACCUUCCCCGGCUCUUAUUCGUUUCCGUCCGAUGCAUCACCAUCGUCCUCCAUGUUGGUUCCCUGGCCGCGGCACGGCCCUUCGGUGUUUUCAACAUGGUUAACAACUGAGAAGAAUAAGCAGAUGAUUGUACAUGGUGAGGAUGACAGUAGGGACCCACCAGGAUCAUAGCAGUAGGCAAGCAAGUGCCUCCUUUAUUACAAGAAAAAAAGGUUCCUCCUAAUGGUUUCUAGACAUCUGGGUCACACGCCACUGUCAACGUAGUCAAUAAGCAAGAUAAUUGAGCACGAAGCGGCUGACACCCGGGACCCAACAGCGCGCAUACUAUUUUCUUGUUUUCAGGGCGGAGAAGGGUAUCAACUAGGUUGUGUGGGAGCUGUGACCCGUCUAGCCCAGGCUUUCAUUUCAUAUGUUUACCAAAUGACCAACCAAGUUUUUUCCCUUUCUGAAAAUGGUUAGCCCAACUAUUUUUUUUGCAGAAUAUCCAACAUAGGCCUACUUGCUUUUCUACGCCCUCCUAGGCUAAAAAUCUUUCAACACGAGGAGGGGUGCAUUCGGGGUUGCCUAGAAAAUGGGCUAUAAGUAAUAAGAAAUGGGUUGUAAGAUGAAAAAAUACAGCAAAUAGGCAAUUAGUUCCAAAAUACUUUUUGAUUUUUGAUUUUGAUAUUUUUAAAUUUCAUUAUUUUUGUGCGGGUAAAAUUUCAUUGGAUUUAAAUUAAGGUAUGUUUAGAUUUUAUAUUAAUUUCAAAUAUGGCUAGAAAUUUCAGGUUGUAUACUAUUUGGGAUAGAUUUGGAGGCUGACUUGUGGGUCUACUAGGUUGACGUGUAUGAAAGGCAUUGUCAAUUUAGUCCACAAAUGAUUCUAGCAGUAGUGGCCACAGAAUGUUAAUGCAACGGCCCUGUUGCUUCUUCAAUAUCUGACCCUCUUGCUCUUGCCGCCCAAACCAGCACCGGUGGGACUGUCUGCUCCCGCCUCCCAUGGCCGGCUGUGCUGCCGCACAGGCCACACCGCCCCACCCUACUCCAUCGCUGGCCAGGCUAUUCCUCUACUCACCCACACCUCCAGUUAUUUUCCAACGACGACAGCCGAACCAGUAAACCCUCGUACUCCCCACUGCGUGGGCAACCACUGUCAUGUCUUCCUCGGCUCCGGGUCGUUCCCUUCCUAGUCCUCACCAUCGUCCACCGCCCUGGUGCUAUCGGUGCGGCGUGGUGAAUGUGGUCAACGAAUGACAUCCAUUAGAAGAGGAUUGUACGUGGAAAGGCUAACAGCUGGGUCCACGACCGUAUGCAAGUAAGUGCCUCCUUGUUACGCGCAAAAUAAUGAUUCCUCCACUUGACAACGGGGACCUGUCAGAAGGACCUCUAUAUUUCACGAAAAAAAUGUUCCUCCCGCUGAUAGCUCGGACCCACCAGCUAUAUCUUUGCACACAAGGAAGUGCCUCCUUAUUACACAAAAAUUACUCCCCUGCUAGCUGGAACCCACCAUAUUUGGAGGAUGACAUGUGGGCCCACUAAGUUGAUGGGGACGCAUGAUUUGUCAACUUAGUCAAUAUAAACGAUUCUAGCUACAGCAAUCGUACAGUGUCCAUCCAACACCCGUCGUGCUUCUUCAACCUCUGAUCUUCCUGCUCCAGCCGCCCAAACCAUCGCCGAUCGUGUCGCAUGCUCCUACGUCCCGUGGCCGUCUGUUCUGCCACGGAGGCCUCACCACCCCACCCUACUAUCAUCGCUGGCCUGGUCAUCCCUGUACUCAGCCAGACCUCUUGUUAUUCUCCGGGGAUGGCAGCCUCACACUAUAGCCGUAGCAGUAAACCCUUGUACUCCCCUCCGUGUGGGAAACAACUGCCGAGUCUUCCAUGGCUCAUGGUCAUUCCCUUUGUAGGCCUCGUCGUUGUCCCUGCCUUGGUGCUCUCGAGGCGGCGUGGUAAACGUGGUCAAGCAACAACUUCCAUCGGAAGAGGACUGUACGUGGAGAGGCUGACAGCUGGGUCCACGACCGCAGCAAGGAAGUGCCUCCUUAUUACGUGCAAAAUAAUGAUUCCUCCACCUAACAACGGGGAUGCAUCGGAAGGGCCACCGUAUUUUGCGAAAAAAACUUUUCCUCCCUGACAGCUGGAACCCACCAACUACAUCUUCGCGCGAAAGGAAGUGCGUCCAUACUGCAGGAAAAAUAAUGAUUCUUCCCCCUGACAACUAGGACCCACCAGCUAUAUCUUCGCACGCAAGGAAGUGCGUCCUUAUCCUCCCUGGCAGCUGGGACUCACCCGAUCGAAGCAUACGUAGCGUUGUCUGUCUGGUCGCGAACGUGUACGGACAUACUUGUCGAUUGGUCUCUCUGCAGCGAUGAACUGUGGCCGAGUAAGGAGCGGCACGUGUCAUAGUAGAGGCGCCGAUGUAGCAUGUCAUGGAGUCCCGUCUAUAUCAUGUACACGUACGUACAACCAUGCUGCAAGAAAGUAAAUACGACGACGUACGUACAUAUGGGUGGGGUCUCGAACACGUACAACAAUGUCGUCCUCUUCAUCGGCAGCCAACCGGCUAGGACACAAAGGAGGAAACAACAGUGUGUUCAUCGGGAGGCAAUCAACUAGGUCAAAAUACAUCGUGUUCAUCAGGAGCUGACCGGCUUGGACGGAACAGCCGAAACGAGGUCUGGCGUACCGUAGAAUGGAGGAAAUGACCUUCUGUUCGACCGUGUAUGAUCGAAACAGGGUACUGUUCAUCGGGAAGGUGCGGUGUAUCAAAAAAUGGAGGAAGCAGAAUUCUGUUUGAGAGCCUACGGUCGAAACAGGGUCAUGAUGAUCAGGAGGGGUCUGGCGUACCGCAAAACAGAAGAAACGGACUUCUGUUGGAGUGCCUACGGUCGAAACGGGGUCCUGUUCAUCCACCGUCUACUGCCUCGCUCCAGCCUCCACGGGGUACUGUUCAUCCAGCCUCCACCGGCUACUGUUCAUAGAGCCUCCACGGGAUCCUGUUCAUCCACCCCCAACCAGCUGGUGUGCAACGGCCUCCUCGGGGACCUAUUCAUCUAGCGGCAAUGACCUACUACCACGGGGUAUGAUUCAUCCAACCCCCACUGGGAAUUGUUCAUCCACAACUGACCAACCGGCUUGACUCACCACGUCUUGACUCGUUCUACAUACCACGCGCACGGUAGCAACGGUCACAGUUCAUCGAGAGGCAACCCAACACCGGCUGGCUACGUCUCAUACGGGGGCUCGAUUGGCUCAGUAAAAAGCAGUGGUGAUCGAUCGCUCGGGUUCAGUUAGCAGUAGAAGUGAAGGAACCGCUCGGGUUCAGUCAGUAGCAAAUGAAAUGCUCGGGUUCGGUUAACAGCCAAGGGAUUGAUUGCUCGGGUUUAGUAAUGUGCGAUUGCUCGGAUUCAGUUAGCCAAUGCCUCGCACACAUGCGUGUACAUGAGAGAAACGGGCAAACCAUAGUGCAUCGCUCGGCCCCGACCACCCACCGUAACCGGAACUCCCCGAUAUUUUCCUUGCCCUCGCAUCUACCAUGAUUUUUUCUCAUGGACGGCCCAAAGAAUGUCAUGCAGCUGCAUCUCCGGCCCGCCUAGGACGAAAAGCCCAUUUUCUGGCAUGAUUUUUUGUCAUAAAAGUGGAGCCCACCACAUCUAUGAUGAUACGUGUUUUUUCAUAAUCAACGUCAUAGAUGUAUCAUCACCAUGACAAAAAAUUCAUUCGGGCCAAAAUGUCAUAGAUGUGUCUUUUUUUGUAGUGAAUGGUUGUGUGGAGAGGCCUUGGGCCGAGGUGACAGGGAAGAGAAUGGCCCAGCAACAAUUUUUUAUUUGUUAAUACAUCUAACGAUUAAACCGGCUAUAGUGCCACUAUAGGUUUACUAUUGGGGUAUCAUACGACCUCCGAAUGCGAGGAAAUUUGACAGCCAAUCUACCUAAAAUGUAAUAAGAUCGCACGUCAACUUUAAACCCAUUCUGAGAAUGUUUUAUUCCCACUUGGAAAAUAAUUCUUUAACGAUGUCACGUGGCAUGUGCAAGUGUGUGGUUGGUCCCAGAACGGUCAAUGAAGACAACAGAAAGAAGUGGCAACUACCAACGGAUGCAAGUUUUUUUUUUUAAAUGACAGCAACGGAGUGUUGAUCCAAUGCGAAUGAUGCGAUGAUGAAUGCAACAAAUAUAUCUAUAUAUAUAAUGUGACUAUCAUGAAAAUAUGGAAGGCAUCUGGAAUGUUUGUCUCGGGUUGUUACACCAGUGGCCUACAUGGGCAUAGUGUGUGCCUUGCCAGAGGAAAUCUCUCACCGGUCUAUUUUGCUUCUCAAGGGAUUCCUUGGGCCAAAGAAAAUAGGCCAUGCAGUAGUUUGGUAUGGCAGCCAAAACGGAGUUGAUCAUGAUGACGUGCCCUCCCCAAGAAUGGAAGGUCGCAUGCCACCCUGAUAACCUUUUGUCAACACGCUGCAUAACUGGCAUCAUUAGUCCAAGGAAAAUCUUGUUUAUUGAUAGCGGCAGUCCUAGGUAGGUGCACGAAAAAUUAGACAGGGGGCAUCACAUGACUUCGGCAAUCUGUAUAACUACUUUGUGCUGUACUCCAAUAGGCAACAGAGUGCUUUUAUGGAAGUUAAUCUCAACCCAGUGAAUGGAGAGGAGUUGAGAAUUCCCUUUAAAACUUUUGCCAGGGAGGAGGGGAGUGAUGUUCAUGAGAUUUAAUUGGAUAUUUGAACAAUUUAUAUGGAUAGUAUUUAUGUUUUCUUAAGAAAUUCAUUUUCGACAAGGUUUACAAAAUGGUGCAUGUUCAUGGUUCAUUCAUUUAUCUUCUAUUUCAUAUGUUGAAUUUAGGGAGGUUAUACGUCCAAUUCACGAGCAAGGCUAUCUACUUCAAUAACGAAAAGAAAAUAGCAAGUUUUCUUUAGUCAUAGGUUAAAAACGACAACCCAAAAGUUUCAUCUCGGGGGUUGAGUGGUGUUUAGUCGAUAGGGCAACAACAAUAAUCAACAUCUUUGCAGUGGCAUCCAGGGUUUAUGCAAUACUUGUAGCACGCCUUGUUAGUGCAUUUAGGAAACUUCAUUGGAUAGCAACUUGCAGGUACUCGUAUUGCAUCUGCAUG
This 8336-nucleotide long non-coding RNA is filed under the name Triticum aestivum (bread wheat). Its description in RNAcentral is "long non-coding RNA (TAES_LNC022833)". The record is from RNAcentral. Lineage: Eukaryota; Viridiplantae; Streptophyta; Magnoliopsida; Poales; Poaceae.